ACAGCAGUCGCCGCGGUAAUACAGAGGGUGCGAGCGUUAAUCGGAUUUACUGGGCGUAAAGCGUGCGUAGGCGGCUUCUUAAGUCGGAUGUGAAAUCCCUGAGCUUAACUUAGGAAUUGCAUUCGAUACUGGGAAGCUAGAGUAUGGGAGAGGAUGGUAGAAUUCCAGGUGUAGCGGUGAAAUGCGUAGAGAUCUGGAGGAAUACCGAUGGCGAAGGCAGCCAUCUGGCCUAAUACUGACGCUGAGGUACGAAAGCAUGGGGAGCGAACAGGAUUAGAUACCCGGGUAGUCCCUGUCUCUUAUAC
This 305-nucleotide ribosomal RNA is filed under the name uncultured bacterium. Its description in RNAcentral is "partial 16S ribosomal RNA". It matches the Rfam family "Bacterial small subunit ribosomal RNA", at positions 508 to 807 of the family's 1533-position model. The record is from RNAcentral.